RNAcentral lists this ribosomal RNA (463 nucleotides) under uncultured bacterium. RNAcentral's name for it is "bacterial SSU rRNA". It matches the Rfam family "Bacterial small subunit ribosomal RNA", at positions 29 to 524 of the family's 1533-position model. The record is from RNAcentral.
ACGAACGCUGGCGGCAGGCCUAACACAUGCAAGUCGAACGCCGUAGCAAUACGGAGUGGCAGACGGGUGAGUAACGCGUGGGAACAUACCCCUCGGUUCGGAAUAACUUAGGGAAACUUGAGCUAAUACCGGAUACGUCCGAGGUUUUAACCGGCCUCGGAGAAAGAUUUAUCGCCGGAGGAUUGGCCCGCGUCUGAUUAGCUUGUUGGUGAGGUAAUGGCUCACCAAGGCGACGAUCAGUAGCUGGUCUGAGAGGAUGAUCAGCCACAUUGGGACUGAGACACGGCCCAAACUCCUACGGGAGGCAGCAGUGGGGAAUAUUGGACAAUGGGCGAAAGCCUGAUCCAGCCAUGCCGCGUGAGUGAUGAAGGCCUUAGGGUUGUAAAGCUCUUUUACCCGGGAAGAUAAUGACGGUACCGGGAGAAUAAGCCCCGGCUAACUUCGUGCCAGCAGCCGCGGUAAU